This 127-nucleotide small RNA is filed under the name Marmota monax (woodchuck). Lineage: Eukaryota; Metazoa; Chordata; Mammalia; Rodentia; Sciuridae. The record is from RNAcentral.
GCCAGGUGUAGUGGUGCACGCCUGUAAUCCCAGUGGCUCAGGAGGUUGAGGCAGGAGGAUCGCGAGUUCAAAGCCAGUUUCAGGAAUUUAGUGAGACGCUAAGCAACUCACUGAGACUCUGUCUCUA